Molecule: ribosomal RNA, 254 nt
Filed under: uncultured bacterium
Lineage: Bacteria
Description: partial 16S ribosomal RNA
Rfam family: Bacterial small subunit ribosomal RNA
Source: RNAcentral
UACGAAGGUGGCAAGCGUUGUUCGGAUUUACUGGGCGUAAAGGGAGCGUAGGUGGUUAGGUAAGCCCUCCGGGAAAUCUUCAGGCUUAACCUGAAAAGGUCGGGGGGGACUGCCUAGCUAGAGGGCGGGAGAGGAGCGCGGAAUUCCCGGUGUAGCGGUGAAAUGCGUAGAGAUCGGGAGGAAGGCCGGUGGCGAAGGCGGCGCUCUGGAACGUUUCUGACACUGAGGCUCGAAAGCGUGGGGAGCAAACAGGG